AUGUAUGUCCUGGAUGCCCUUUGGACGUCCUAAGGACAUCCUUGUGCUGUCUGGGAUAAUUCAUAAAAGGCACAUAUAUACCUAUGUAAAAUAAAUUGCAGAUUUCAAUCAGAUGAGGCUUCUCUCGACAUUGAAAGAACUUGGACAAUUUCACAUUAGAUAAUAAUGGAUAGAAAUUAACGUGCAAACUCUAAAUUACGCGAAGUGCAUAAUACGUAUUUUCGAAAAAUUAAGAGGAGAACAUAAUUUGAUAAAACAAACUGAAGAUUCAAAUCUCUAGAUUUGAGUUUUUGAAAUCCGAUGGACCGGCACGUUUAUUAGAAAAACACAACACACACAUAAUGGCGCGAAUUAAAAUUGAUACUCGUUAAUUCGCCAUAUUGGAUACAGAAUGCAUUUUAUUUGCGAUAACUCGAAUCGUUUGAUGGACCAAUCAGGACAAAGAAAUCCUUCUAUUUCUUGUAUUCUGAUUGGUCCCUCCUCUAUGUUAAGGUAAUAUUUCGUUUAUCAAACGAGAAGCUUUAUCGGACAUACUGAUUGACAGCUAUACUAAUAGCGUUUUCGAAUGAAGCAGGUUUAAUCGCUCUGAAAGCGAUUAAUGACGUCAUUGCAUCGUCUCUGCCAAUAAAAGACUUAAAUUCAUAGUAAAAUAUAAAUGAUUAAUUGAUCGGAUUUGGAUUAACCCGUUCGUUCGAAAACGCUAUAAGAAACUUUGGGAAUCCUAGAAAUUUUCUAUCCGAUAGCCAAUCAAAACAUCUAAUAACAAACUCGUCGUACGAUGAUAUAAAUGGGUCUGUUCUUUAUAGCUGAACUGGCUGCACUAGUUCAGAGUUUAUCUUUUUCUCUCUCCAUUAGAAGGAGAAAGAUAAGCUCUGAACUAGUGCAGCCAGUUCAGCUAUAAAGAACAGACCUAAUAUCACCUUAAAGCACGGUCUUACAUACAGGUCUUGAAACUGGCCGCAAUUUCAGUAGUGGGGGUAUGGUCGCUUAUUGAGGAAAUAUUUAGUUCCUAACACAGCCACUAUUCGUCGCUGUGAUAACUUUUCCCAGAUAAACGUAACCUACCUGAAAUGUCAAAUUAAAAAAAAAAAAAAAAAGACCUUGGAAACCGAGAGCCGUUGUAAAUACGCGUGUGAUUUUCGUAAAAGAUUAUUUUUGAAAAAUGGCGAGGUGGUGCGCAGUACCGUAUUGUAAAACCGGCAGCAGAACGGAACAAAUAAAGCGGUCUUUAUUUGGCGUACCGAAAGACCCGGUUAUAUGGAAGAAAUGGGAAGAGGCUAUCCCAGGUAUAGUCAAGUUGCGCCAAACGGACGUUAUAUGUGACAAACAGGAAAAAGAUAUUUCCCGUGAGUGGAUUAAGCUUGACACAAAUGAUCAAGUAAUUGCACGGUCAUAUACAAGUAUCCGCAACUUAAAAAGCAAGCCGUGCCCACGAAAUUCGGUGACGUUCCGACAGGAGAUUGUGAGCCGCUGCAUGAAUAUGCGAAGCGAAUAUGCAAUGUCUCUGCCGAAUCCUCUAAUAUGAUGAAACCAUCAAUUCAAAUAAUCAGUACCUUGAUACCGUACAUGUUCCUUUACCAGUUCCAGACAUUGGCACAGAUAUCAGCAUGUCGUUUUCGCCCAUGGAAAUAUCGAGUUGUGAACCUCCGGUAGCAGAUUUGUUGGUUCCUUACCCAAACAGCACAAGGAUGUCCUUAGGACGUCCAAAGGGCAUCCAGGACAUACAUGUAGGAUAUCCUGAGGAUAUCCUAUUUUAAUCCUCGGAUCUCCUCUGGAUGUCCUGAGGAAGAGUAAAUGAUAGCC
Molecule: long non-coding RNA, 1803 nt
Organism: Formica exsecta
Lineage: Eukaryota; Metazoa; Arthropoda; Insecta; Hymenoptera; Formicidae
Exons: 3
Source: RefSeq, a predicted model, not a curated record